RNAcentral lists this ribosomal RNA (704 nucleotides) under Salmonella enterica subsp. enterica serovar Hadar. RNAcentral describes it as "partial 23S ribosomal RNA". It matches the Rfam family "Bacterial large subunit ribosomal RNA", at positions 2238 to 2925 of the family's 2925-position model. Lineage: Bacteria; Pseudomonadati; Pseudomonadota; Gammaproteobacteria; Enterobacterales; Enterobacteriaceae. The record is from RNAcentral.
AUCCGGGUUGCGGACAGUGUCUGGUGGGUAGUUUGACUGGGGCGGUCUCCUCCUAAAGAGUAACGGAGGAGCACGAAGGUUGGCUAAUCCUGGUCGGACAUCAGGAGGUUAGUGCAAUGGCAUAAGCCAGCUUGACUGCGAGCGUGACGGCGCGAGCAGGUGCGAAAGCAGGUCAUAGUGAUCCGGUGGUUCUGAAUGGAAGGGCCAUCGCUCAACGGAUAAAAGGUACUCCGGGGAUAACAGGCUGAUACCGCCCAAGAGUUCAUAUCGACGGCGGUGUUUGGCACCUCGAUGUCGGCUCAUCACAUCCUGGGGCUGAAGUAGGUCCCAAGGGUAUGGCUGUUCGCCAUUUAAAGUGGUACGCGAGCUGGGUUUAGAACGUCGUGAGACAGUUCGGUCCCUAUCUGCCGUGGCGCUGGAGAACUGAGGGGGGCUGCUCCUAGUACGAGAGGACCGGAGUGGACGCAUCACUGGUGUUCGGGUUGUCAUGCCAAUGGCACUGCCCGGUAGCUAAAUGCGGAAGAGAUAAGUGCUGAAAGCAUCUAAGCACGAAACUUGCCCCGAGAUGAGUUCUCCCUGAGACUUUAAGUCUCCUGAAGGAACGUUGAAGACGACGACGUUGAUAGGCCGGGUGUGUAAGCGCAGCGAUGCGUUGAGCUAACCGGUACUAAUGAACCGUGAGGCUUAACCUUACAACGCCGAAG